GUCCUGAAGGAACGUUGAAGACGACGACGUUGAUAGGCCGGGUGUGUAAGCGCAGCGAUGCGUUGAGCUAACCGGUACUAAUGAACCGUGAGGCUUAACUUU
RNAcentral lists this ribosomal RNA (102 nucleotides) under Escherichia coli. Its description in RNAcentral is "partial 23S ribosomal RNA". It matches the Rfam family "Bacterial large subunit ribosomal RNA", at positions 2824 to 2925 of the family's 2925-position model. The record is from RNAcentral. Lineage: Bacteria; Pseudomonadati; Pseudomonadota; Gammaproteobacteria; Enterobacterales; Enterobacteriaceae.